UGGGUGACCUGCCCUCAGCUCUGGGAUAAGCCUGGGAAACUGGGUCUAAUACCGGAUAGGACUGCAUGCUGCAUUGUGUGUGGUGGAAAGUUUUUCGGCUGGGGAUGGGCCCGCGGCCUAUCAGCUUGUUGGUGGGGUGAUGGCUUACCAAGGCGACGACGGGUAGCCGGCCUGAGAGGGCGACCGGCCACACUGGGACUGAGACACGGCCCAGACCUCCGUACGGGA
This 228-nucleotide ribosomal RNA is filed under the name uncultured bacterium. Its description in RNAcentral is "partial 16S ribosomal RNA". It matches the Rfam family "Bacterial small subunit ribosomal RNA", at positions 118 to 346 of the family's 1533-position model. The record is from RNAcentral.